CAGUGGCUGGACAAGAGGUGUGUGGGAUACUGAUUUUAGAGAAAAAAAAAACCAUUAACGUGAGGCUUCGUUUCUCACAUCAUUUUCCCCUCACAGUGCCCGGUGCCUG
This 109-nucleotide non-coding RNA is filed under the name Drosophila pseudoobscura. RNAcentral also lists the same sequence under 1 other name. The record is from miRBase by way of RNAcentral. Lineage: Eukaryota; Metazoa; Arthropoda; Insecta; Diptera; Drosophilidae.